UUCACAAAGAUUAGUCAUGAUAGAGCUGCCAUCAAUCAGUGUUACAAUUAGUGGAAGUAGAUUUGUUGCUGCCUUCAUGGCUUCUUAGCCAUUAGCCUCACAGAUGUAUAUGUGAUGGGUCCAACAGCGAAGCAAAGGAAGUUCAGGGGGAGGAGAAGGCGUCCUCAGGGUCCAGCCACCUCUGCUGGUUGGUCGAGACCAUGUCUUCACGUUCCGAGCUUGAUGCCAGAGCUUGAAGAGCAUUUCUAACCUUAUUCAUGCUUUUAUGGUGGCGGAGGCGUCUGAGGAUAACUUCUUUGUCCAAGGCCCUGGAGGAGGGCUUCGAUGAUGAUUUUAAGUGAAGCUGGGUGCUGACAGGACCAAGCUGCGUGUGGUUUUCUUUGUCCUCUGCGGUGAGAGAUUGCUGGGAUUGAGAAAUCACAAAAGCCAUUUUUCUGUAGGGGAAGUGAAGUGGGUAUUUG
This 461-nucleotide unclassified non-coding RNA is filed under the name Hevea brasiliensis (rubber tree). Lineage: Eukaryota; Viridiplantae; Streptophyta; Magnoliopsida; Malpighiales; Euphorbiaceae. The record is from RNAcentral.